GAGAUUCUCGAAUUGUCCCUAUCUACUUUCUAGCGAAACCACAGCCAAGGGAACGGGCUUGGAAAAAUCAGUGGGGAAAGAAGACCCUUUUGAGCUUGACACUAGUCUAGCAUUGUGGGAGGGCAUGCGGGGUGUAGCAUAAGUGGGAGUCGGGGAUCACGCGAGAUUCAUUGAGAAAUGUUUUUCGUGCCUCGACGACUUUGAAAUACCACUACUCGCAUCGUUUUCUUACUUACUCGGUAAUGCGGAACGCGUGCUGUAUGGUCCCGGUUUUGUUCGUUUUAGUGUUCGCUCUUCGGAGUGUUCCUAUUACGUAUCAAUUCCAUUGCGACCUUCAGUUACGAUGGAUUCCACGUCGUCUUAAGCGCGAUAUAGUUUGUCAGUACGGUUGUUUCGCUUCUUUGUGGUCUUCGGAUUGCAUGGAGUGUUUCAAUUUGGCAACAUUGCGUGAUCCGAUCCGAGGACAUUGUUAGGUGGGGUGUUUGACUGGGGCGGUACAUCUGUCAAAGAAUAACGCAGGUGUCCUAAGGCCAGCUCAGCGAGGACGGAAACCUCGCGUAGAGCAAAAGGGCAAAAGCUGGCUUGAUCCCGGACGCCCAGUACGCGUAGGGACUGCGAAAGCAUCGGCCUCUCGAUCCUCUCGUCUGCUGAAGAGUUUUCAGGGAGAGGUGUCAGAAAAGUUACCAGAGGGAUAACUGGCUGGUGGCGGCCAAGCGU
RNAcentral lists this ribosomal RNA (717 nucleotides) under Insignorthezia sp. IMV-2016. Its description in RNAcentral is "eukaryotic LSU rRNA". It matches the Rfam family "Eukaryotic large subunit ribosomal RNA", at positions 2329 to 2851 of the family's 3401-position model. The record is from RNAcentral. Lineage: Eukaryota; Metazoa; Arthropoda; Insecta; Hemiptera; Ortheziidae.